UAACCUCAAUUUAACGGUCUGACAACCCCAAAUUGAGGGACAUUCUAGUAAAUGAGUCAUCUGUACUCUUCAAAAAUGUCCAUAUCAUGAAACACGGUAAGACUGAGGAAAUGUUUGAGAAUAAUGGAGACUAAAAGGCCGUGACAGCUGAAUGUAGUGCCUGAUCCAAGACUUUCAUCUGUUAUAAAGACCAUUAUUGGAAUAAUUGGCUAGAUCUGAAUAAGACAGAGUGUCACUGUAUUGCCCAGGCUGGAAUGGAGUGGUGUAAUCUUGGCUCACUGCAACCUCCGCCUUCUGGGGGUUCAAGCGAUUCUCAUGCCUCAGCCUCCCGAGCAGGCGCACAACACCACGCCCGGCUAAUUUUUGUAUUUUUAGUAGAGAUGGGGUUUUGCUAUGUUGGCCAGGCUGGUCUGACACUCCUAGCCUCAAGUCUGGUCUGCCUGUCCUGGCCUCUCAAAGUACUAGGAUUACAGGCAUGAGCCACCGCACCCAGUCCUGAUUUUAUCUCUUGAUCAUCUGGAUUAAACUGUACCAGAAGACACUCCUGGGACUUUUGGAUUGCGCAAACAAAUAAAUUUUUUCUUUUGCCUGAGUAAUUUUGUGCUGGAUAUCUGUCCUGGCUGAUAUAGUUAUGGCUGAUAUGUUAGACUGACUCUGUAUUUAAGUGUUAGUAGUUAAUUCCUAAUUAAUAGACUAUUAGAUAUCUUACGUUCAAGUAUAUAUCCUUUUUUCUUUGUAAUUUUGUCAAAUCUUUUAAGUAUUCAUUUCUGAUUCAUUUCACCGAACUCUGAAUUUUCUGGAAGGGGUUGGAAAAAGGGUUGUUAUUUCCCUAGUUUGCAUGCUUCAAUCAGACCAGGUGUUGACAGCGGUGUCUGUGUCAAUGCGUCAGUGACUAUGCCCUGCCAGUUACUAAAUAUUUUGAAUAUCAUAUCUAAUUGGUAGGGGGACACUGUUCUAAGUUGUUCUUUGAAUAUAUUUUUUGUUUGUGGACAAUGAUCUUAAUAUAACUGAC
RNAcentral lists this long non-coding RNA (1012 nucleotides) under Homo sapiens (human). Its description in RNAcentral is "HSALNT0064201". Lineage: Eukaryota; Metazoa; Chordata; Mammalia; Primates; Hominidae. The record is from RNAcentral.